CUUUGUUCUUUCCUUUGGCUCUGUUGUCAUGGUCGGUGGUACAGAUUGUCCUGAAGCUUAGUAGUGUUCCAAAACCUCUUCCUUGGUUCACCUGCUGCUGUUUUGUGUGUAUGCUGUUUUGUUUAUGCCGUUAACAUCAAUGUUUAAUUUAGUUAGUUUUCUAUAUUUUGGUUGAUUUCGUUUUUGCUUAUAUUUUGAUUUAGUACGUGCAAUAAUAAAGAUGAUUUUCA
Trematomus bernacchii (emerald rockcod) is the source of this 230-nucleotide long non-coding RNA. RefSeq lists it as uncharacterized. NCBI's taxonomy places the organism in Eukaryota, Metazoa, Chordata, Actinopteri, Perciformes, Nototheniidae. The record is from RefSeq and is a predicted model, not a curated record. The transcript has 3 exons.